AGAGUUUGAUCAUGGCUCAGAUUGAACGCUGGCGGCAGGCCUAACACAUGCAAGUCGAGCGGUAGCACAGAGAGCUUGCUCUCGGGUGACGAGCGGCGGACGGGUGAGUAAUGUCUGGGAAACUGCCUGAUGGAGGGGGAUAACUACUGGAAACGGUAGCUAAUACCGCAUAACGUCGCAAGACCAAAGUGGGGGACCUUCGGGCCUCAUGCCAUCAGAUGUGCCCAGAUGGGAUUAGCUAGUAGGUGGGGUAAUGGCUCACCUAGGCGACGAUCCCUAGCUGGUCUGAGAGGAUGACCAGCCACACUGGAACUGAGACACGGUCCAGACUCCUACGGGAGGCAGCAGUGGGGAAUAUUGCACAAUGGGCGCAAGCCUGAUGCAGCCAUGCCGCGUGUAUGAAGAAGGCCUUCGGGUUGUAAAGUACUUUCAGCGAGGAGGAAGGCGUUAAGGUUAAUAACCUUGGCGAUUGACGUUACUCGCAGAAGAAGCACCGGCUAACUCCGUGCCAGCAGCCGCGGUAAUACGGAGGGUGCAAGCGUUAAUCGGAAUUACUGGGCGUAAAGCGCACGCAGGCGGUCUGUCAAGUCGGAUGUGAAAUCCCCGGGCUCAACCUGGGAACUGCAUUCGAAACUGGCAGGCUAGAGUCUUGUAGAGGGGGGUAGAAUUCCAGGUGUAGCGGUGAAAUGCGUAGAGAUCUGGAGGAAUACCGGUGGCGAAGGCGGCCCCCUGGACAAAGACUGACGCUCAGGUGCGAAAGCGUGGGGAGCAAACAGGAUUAGAUACCCUGGUAGUCCACGCCGUAAACGAUGUCGACUUGGAGGUUGUGCCCUUGAGGCGUGGCUUCCGGAGCUAACGCGUUAAGUCGACCGCCUGGGGAGUACGGCCGCAAGGUUAAAACUCAAAUGAAUUGACGGGGGCCCGCACAAGCGGUGGAGCAUGUGGUUUAAUUCGAUGCAACGCGAAGAACCUUACCUACUCUUGACAUCCAGAGAACUUAGCAGAGAUGCUUUGGUGCCUUCGGGAACUCUGAGACAGGUGCUGCAUGGCUGUCGUCAGCUCGUGUUGUGAAAUGUUGGGUUAAGUCCCGCAACGAGCGCAACCCUUAUCCUUUGUUGCCAGCGGUCCGGCCGGGAACUCAAAGGAGACUGCCAGUGAUAAACUGGAGGAAGGUGGGGAUGACGUCAAGUCAUCAUGGCCCUUACGAGUAGGGCUACACACGUGCUACAAUGGCAUAUACAAAGAGAAGCGACCUCGCGAGAGCAAGCGGACCUCAUAAAGUAUGUCGUAGUCCGGAUUGGAGUCUGCAACUCGACUCCAUGAAGUCGGAAUCGCUAGUAAUCGUAGAUCAGAAUGCUACGGUGAAUACGUUCCCGGGCCUUGUACACACCGCCCGUCACACCAUGGGAGUGGGUUGCAAAAGAAGUAGGUAGCUUAACCUUCGGGAGGGCGCUUACCACUUUGUGAUUCAUGACUGGGGUGAAGUCGUAACAAGGUAACCGUAGGGGAACCUGCGGUUG
RNAcentral lists this ribosomal RNA (1520 nucleotides) under Klebsiella aerogenes. RNAcentral describes it as "bacterial SSU rRNA". It matches the Rfam family "Bacterial small subunit ribosomal RNA". The record is from RNAcentral. Lineage: Bacteria; Pseudomonadati; Pseudomonadota; Gammaproteobacteria; Enterobacterales; Enterobacteriaceae.